This 478-nucleotide ribosomal RNA is filed under the name uncultured bacterium. Its description in RNAcentral is "partial 16S ribosomal RNA". It matches the Rfam family "Bacterial small subunit ribosomal RNA", at positions 28 to 523 of the family's 1533-position model. The record is from RNAcentral.
GACGAACGCUGGCGGCGUGCCUAACACAUGCAAGUCGAGCGAAGUGAGUACUACGGUACGAACUUAGCGGCGGACGGGUGAGUAACGCGUGGACAAUCUACCCUGUAGACUGGGAUAACACCUCGAAAGGGGUGCUAAUACCGGAUAAUGUCGAGAAGCGGCAUCGCUUUUCGAAGAAAGGAGAGAAUCCGCUAUAGGAGGAGUCCGCGUCCCAUUAGCUAGUUGGUGAGGGUAACGGCCCACCAAGGCGACGAUGGGUAGCCGGCCUGAGAGGGUGAACGGCCACACUGGAACUGAGACACGGUCCAGACUCCUACGGGAGGCAGCAGUGGGGAAUAUUGUGCAAUGGGGGAAACCCUGACACAGCAACGCCGCGUGAGCGAAGAAGGCCUUCGGGUUGUAAAGCUCAAUUGUAUGGGAAGAUAAUGACGGUACCAUACGAAAGCCCCGGCUAACUACGUGCCAGCCGCCGCGGUAA